RNAcentral lists this transfer RNA (26 nucleotides) under Corallorhiza wisteriana. Its description in RNAcentral is "partial tRNA-Phe". The record is from RNAcentral. Lineage: Eukaryota; Viridiplantae; Streptophyta; Magnoliopsida; Asparagales; Orchidaceae.
GUGGGGAUAGGUGAGUUGGUAGAGGA